Molecule: ribosomal RNA, 459 nt
Filed under: uncultured Streptococcus sp.
Lineage: Bacteria; Bacillati; Bacillota; Bacilli; Lactobacillales; Streptococcaceae
Description: bacterial SSU rRNA
Rfam family: Bacterial small subunit ribosomal RNA
Source: RNAcentral
CACAAGCGGUGGAGCAUGUGGUUUAAUCGAAGCAACGCGAAAGAACCUUACCAGGUCUUGACAUCCCGAUGCUAUUUCUAGAGAUAGAAAGUUACUUCGGUACAUCGGUGACAGGUGGUGCAUGGUUGUCGUCAGCUCGUGUCGUGAGAUGUUGGGUUAAGUCCCGCAACGAGCGCAACCCCUAUUGUUAGUUGCCAUCAUUCAGUUGGGCACUCUAGCGAGACUGCCGGUAAUAAACCGGAGGAAGGUGGGGAUGACGUCAAAUCAUCAUGCCCCUUAUGACCUGGGCUACACACGUGCUACAAUGGUUGGUACAACGAGUUGCGAGUCGGUGACGGCGAGCUAAUCUCUUAAAGCCAAUCUCAGUUCGGAUUGUAGGCUGCAACUCGCCUACAUGAAGUCGGAAUCGCUAGUAAUCGCGGAUCAGCACGCCCGCGGUCGAAUACGUUCCCGGGCCUU